GGUUGUGUAGUGUAGUGGUUAUCACAUCGGAUUCUGAUGAAUGACGGUUGUCUGCUAGACUUCCGGUAACCUGGGUUCGACUCCCAGCAUGACCU
Non-coding RNA from Tulasnella sp. JGI-2019a, 95 nucleotides. NCBI's taxonomy places the organism in Eukaryota, Fungi, Basidiomycota, Agaricomycetes, Cantharellales, Tulasnellaceae. The record is from the annotation of a GenBank genome assembly.